Molecule: ribosomal RNA, 253 nt
Filed under: uncultured bacterium
Lineage: Bacteria
Description: partial 16S ribosomal RNA
Rfam family: Bacterial small subunit ribosomal RNA
Source: RNAcentral
UACAGAGGGUGCGAGCGUUAAUCGGAAUUACUGGGCGUAAAGCGUGCGUAGACGGCUAUCUAAGUCGGGUGUGAAAGCCCCGGGCUCAACCUGGGAAUUGCAUUCGAGACUGGAUAGCUAGGGUACGGUAGAGGGAAGUGGAACUUCCGGUGUAGCGGUGAAAUGCGUAGAUAUCGGAAGGAACAUCAGUGGCGAAAGCGACUUCCUGGACCAGUACCGACGUUCAGGCACGAAAGCGUGGGGAGCAAACAGG